AGGACGAACGCUGGCGGCGUGCCUAACACAUGCAAGUCGAGCGAGGAGAUCCUCGGGAUGAUCCUAGCGGCGGACGGGUGAGUAACACGUGGGCAACCUGCCUCAUAGAGAGGAAUAGCCUUCCGAAAGGGAGAUUAAUACCUCAUAACAUUGCAGUUUCGCAUGGAACAGCAAUUAAAGGAGUAAUCCGCUAUGAGAUGGGCCCGCGGCGCAUUAGCUAGUUGGUGAGGUAACGGCUCACCAGGGCGACGAUGCGUAGCCGACCUGAGAGGGUGAUCGGCCACAUUGGGACUGAGACACGGCCCAGACUCCUACAGGAGGCAGCAGUGGGGAAUAUUGCACAAUGGGGGAAACCCUGAUGCAAGCAACGCCGCGUGAGUGAUGACGGCCUUCGGGUUGUAAAGCUCUGUCUUCAGGGACGAUAAUGACGGUACCUGAGGAGGAAGCCACGGCUAACUACGUGCCAGCCGCAGC
Molecule: ribosomal RNA, 474 nt
Filed under: uncultured bacterium
Lineage: Bacteria
Description: bacterial SSU rRNA
Rfam family: Bacterial small subunit ribosomal RNA
Source: RNAcentral